Molecule: ribosomal RNA, 253 nt
Filed under: uncultured bacterium
Lineage: Bacteria
Description: partial 16S ribosomal RNA
Rfam family: Bacterial small subunit ribosomal RNA
Source: RNAcentral
UACGGGGGGGGUAAGCGUUGUUCGGAAUUACUGGGCGUAAAGGGCUCGUAGGCGGCCAACUAAGUCAUACGUGAAAUCCCUCAGCUUAACUGGGGAACUGCGUGUGAUACUGGAUGGCUUGGAUUUGGGAGAGGGAUGCGGAAUUCCAGGUGUAGCGGUGAAAUGCGUAGAUAUCAGGAGGAACGCCGGAGGCGAAAGCGAGUGACUGGCGCGUUCCUGACGCUGAGGUGCGAAAGCUAGGGGAGCAAACAGG